This 320-nucleotide ribosomal RNA is filed under the name uncultured bacterium. Its description in RNAcentral is "bacterial SSU rRNA". It matches the Rfam family "Bacterial small subunit ribosomal RNA", at positions 34 to 334 of the family's 1533-position model. The record is from RNAcentral.
GACGGAACGCGUGGACGGCGUGCCUAAUACAUGCAAGUCGAGCGGACCGAAGGGAGCUUGCUCCUUUAGGUUAGCGGCGGACGGGUGAGUAACACGUGGGCAACCUGCCCUGCAGACUGGGAUAACUUCGGGAAACCGGAGCUAAUACCGGAUAACACCGAAAACCGCAUGGUUUUCGGUUGAAAGGCGACUUUUAGCUGUCACUGCAGGAUGGGCCCGCGGCGCAUUAGCUAGUUGGUGAGGUAACGGCUCACCAAGGCGACGAUGCGUAGCCGACCUGAGAGGGUGACCGGCCACACUGGGACUGAGACACGGCCCAG